Molecule: long non-coding RNA, 4058 nt
Organism: Tympanuchus pallidicinctus (lesser prairie-chicken)
Lineage: Eukaryota; Metazoa; Chordata; Aves; Galliformes; Phasianidae
Exons: 5
Source: RefSeq, a predicted model, not a curated record
GUAAAUAACCGUUAGGGCAGUUUACAGUUAGCAGAAGGGCUGAAGCAUUGUCCAAAGAGCUAAAAUGCACUAAGAGAGAAGUCUGCUUUGUUUUAUUUAUUCUUAAACAUUCUGCUGGUUUCCUUCCCAUGCUGCGCUCUCUUCCAUAUGCUCCCUACACCCACCAACACACCCACCUACACACACUCACAAUUUACCAACAUACUUUAUGACUUUGCUGAAUUAAGAUCCACACCACCAUUCAAAUAAGAUAAAAUAAACAGCUGUUUUCUUUCUGCAGAAUGAGCAUAUUCUGACUUGGCACUUAUGAAGCAUCUGAAAGAAGGGGGCUGCCAGAAAUGUCUUACACCAACACUGCACUGAAGGCCUAGGUCUGGAGUAUGUGCAGCUGUGUGCACUAAGGAGCAUUGGGAUUUGCAGUAGGAAAAUUUCUAGGGGGAUCUUGCAGGCAUGCAAGCCACGGUAGUGUGUUGUAGGUCACUGAGAAGCCAGAGGAGGUGCCCAUGGAAUCUCCAGGCUUGAACACAUAGUCAAAAUAGCAUCAACAGGGUACAACAGAAGCUCAUCGCAGACAUUUAAUUCAAGACCUCCCUUUCUGCUGGAGAAUUACAGUCCCAAGAAGUGCAAGCAGCAGAGAUUGACUAGAUUUGCCCUGCCUCUCUUAUCUCCUGCAUUAAGCUCCUUGAUUUGGGAGCUGACAGAAUUUUGCAGUGCCCAGCAGACAAACAAAUAACCUAGAAAGAGUCUGAAACAGGUUAUAUUACUGUGAAUCCUGUUUUGCCAUCCAUUUCUGCUGCUUAUCAGUUGUAGGCCAUUACACCUCAUUCUGAAAAUCAAAAGGGCUGAAAACAAAAGCAGCAUCUCAGAUUAUCACCUUGAUAUUUCUCCUUGCUGUAUGUAUGGUAACUGUUGAGUCACAACCUGAACUGCUGAUUGAGCACCUGCAGAAAGAAUCCAGUCAGCCUUGGGAGCACAGGUGAAGGCAAUUCUCCUGUGCAACUGGAAGGGGUGGAACCUCGUUGCACCUCUCUUAGACCACAUUUAAGGGCUGAUUGCCUUUGAGGAAGGGUCUCUGGUUGGAGAUCCCUCCCUUGUGGAGUCUUUUCUGUGAGCCUAGAUCCUCAGAGCCGACCCACCAGGCCUGAUCUGCAUGGGUUCUUAAAGACAAUGAAGGCUGCCUGACAGCUUGGAGUGAACACAUGAGACUUGAUCAAAGGUUCAUAGAACCAUGGAAUGGCCUAGAUUGAAAAGGACCUCAAAGAUCAUCUAAUUUCAACUCCCCUGCUGUGGGCAAGGUCACCAACCACACUAGACCAGGCUACUAUUCAGAUAACUUUCACUUGGUCUCACAGCCCACAGGAUGAUUGAAGAUUUCGAAAGAUCAGAGACUGAGCAAGUCUAUCACUGGACAUAUAACUUCCCUUAGACGUUUUUCUUGGCUUUCUACAAAGCAUCAACUUACUAUAAGGAUCAAGAUGAUUUCUUUCAAUAAUAUCUUGAAGAUAGCUGACUACUACCUUCAGUGCUGAUCAGCAACAACCUCUACUACCUGAGUAACUAUUGACUCAUCAUUAUCAUCACUCCCUACAGCCCACAACAGGCUAUUAGAGAAAGUUCAAAAUGUUUUCCACUUUCAGAAUUACUAGAAAAGCUGGAAAGCUUCUCCUAAAGCAUUGAUUUAGUGACUAUCAUAGUCACAGGGAGAAGUCCUGAUGCCUUUCAGUUAGGAGCCACAUCUCUAGGCAGAUGAUUAUUCCCAUAACAGAAAGAUUUGCCAAAAGAAAAACAGAAAAAGAAAAAAUUCUAUAAUGUUACCCCUGAAGUCAUGUUUUUAUUAGAUGAAGUAAAAUGUCCUCCAAGUGCAUGAAUUCUACCAUCUUUCAUUACAAUUUAUUUAGUUAGAAUAUUAUGCAUGCCCAAUAAUGCAUUGCUUGUAAAGGCCCUUUGUCAAAAGUGUUUUUAGAGGGGAAAUACAGAGAUGCCACAACAUAAGUAAAUGAGGUUCUGAUUAUUCUGUUUACUAUAGUUUUCAGUUUCCUCACCUGAUUUGGGUGAAACCAAAUUUUUGAUUUGCGGAUUUAAGUGCAUUGGACGUUUUUGUACAGGGCAUGUUACUGGGGACUGGAUGCUCCCUAAAACACCCAAAGCAGGUAUUUAGGUAUCUUAGAACACAGAAUUUGGAAAACUUUCUUCGCUGAGCCAGAAAAUUAAGAUUUUUAUGUCUUAGAAUUUAGUGAUAAUAAUAAUCGAAGACUGUAAUACUGACAGUGAGGUUAUCCUUACUAUUAGAAUGUCCAAUUCAAACAAAAUAGAAGUUAACAACUUACCAAAUUAAAAUAGAAUCCACAGCGUACCUACUCAUUAUGUUUUAAUGGCAUGUAAAAAGCACAUGGAUGACCAGUUGAUUCUGAGAAAAUCUUUAUGUACAGUUGUCAUGAGUAAUUACUUACCUUAGCUCUCUUUUCUUUUGAGGAGCUGCAAAUUUAAAUCCAAGUGUAUAAUUUCUUAGGGAUUCUAUGCCCAGAGAGCUGAAUCUGAUCAUUUGUAUGAGAAAAUCCAGUCCAGCAUAAAAGAAAACUUUCCCAUUUAAGUACAGUUUAAGAUUAUGUGUAGAGAACAAUAUAUAUAAAAGUCGCUCUCUUGUCCUAACAUCAAAAUCCUGGAGGUUCUUUCUGUCCUCAUUAGAGUCUGUCUGAUUCUUGCUAUUAACCUCAGCAGGAAUGGACUUGAUUUUAAUACUACUUCAGGGGCCUCCUCCAGAUUCAGUCACAAAUCUACUUUUAUAUGUAAAUCACAUGAAUCAUUGAUUUAUUUAAAAAUGAGGGAAGAUGUCUGUGAUUUUUCUAGGUGGAGAAUCAAGGACUAAAUGAUUGUCAGUUCUCAGAGUUAAAAAAAUGAAAAGAAAAACGAAACCCUCCAGAACAGCCAAAGUAUCCAGUUGCUCAUCAUUCUGCAUACUGGCACUCUUGAUGAUGUUUGCUCUUUUUCUUUCCUGUUCACAAUGUUCUUAAUAAUUCAGUACUUUUUUCUUUAACUUUAUUAUUAAAGGCAAUGGACUGAUGAUUCAUUCUGCUUUCUUUGCUCUUUCAGUGAUGUCCAUUAAUGAAGACUUACUUUUCAGCAUCAUUGGCUUACUUAACUAAAUCAUUUAUUUAGUUAAGUAGUUCAGUGUACGUUUUUGUUUUUUUUUUGCUCAGUGUAACAGCUAGUUAUAGCUCAGAUUAGAGUUGCAUAUUGAUUUUAUUCUAGAAAAUGUGUAUGAAAUGGACUGAGCUUCAAGUACCAAAAACUGGAAAAUGCAGGGCAGAAGAAAGUACAGCAGAACAUAGCUGCAUAGCUACACCUGCAGAAUGUGACUCCAGGAGAAACAACAGAAGUGCUUUCUCUGGAUAGCAGGAAUGUUCAUUCACAGACAUUGUGUGCCACUGGAUGUCACCAGCGUUUCAACACUUGAGAAAUCAUCAAGAGAUUCCUUUUAAAUGGAAACAAACAUACCUACAGGAAGGAAGUGAAGAGAAAGGAAACAUUCUAUGGAGUAUGUCAAUCUGUAGAUUAAUUAAUACAUUGAUUCCAUUUGAGAGUCUGUAUGUACCUGUCUUCCCACUGAGAUAUCUACUAUGCAAUCAGUGGUAAUUUGAAAAUCAAUUGCUCUUUUGUAGUACUUAAAUUUGUCCAUCUAAACAGAUAUAAUUGAUAGAGCCUACAAUUCAUUUCAAGGCAGUGAUGCUUAAGGAAUCCUAGAGAUAAGGGAUGUAAGCUAGCAAACUGGGAGGUUUUACCCAACAAAUGACAGUCAAAAUUAACAGUUUUGUAUUGGUUUUAAAUAUAAAAUAGUAGAUAUGAAAUCUGAAUUGAAAUAUACUGCUAAAGUAAAAUAUAUUUUUAGACAAGGCAAAAAAAAGCUGAUAGAAGUGACUGUAUUUAGACAAAAUUAUAUCUUAUAGAAUUACAUUUACAUGUUACAGAACUAAAUUGUUGUUUUUUCAUCAUAUUCUUUUAAAUUUCAUCAUAUUCUUUUAAAACUGAUAUUUUGAAUAUGUUGAUCUAGCUGCUUACAA